GGGCACGCGGACGGACCGGGACCGCCGCCCUUACAAGGCGGAGGUCGACCGUUCGAGCCGGUCAGCGCCCA
Molecule: transfer RNA, 71 nt
Filed under: Actinomycetota bacterium
Lineage: Bacteria; Bacillati; Actinomycetota
Description: tRNA-Val
Source: RNAcentral